GCGUCAUUAGCCAAGUGGUAUGGCAACAGGCUUUUAACCUGUAUAUCAGGAGUUCGAAUCUCUUAUGGCGCA
Molecule: transfer RNA, 72 nt
Filed under: Lachnospiraceae bacterium
Lineage: Bacteria; Bacillati; Bacillota; Clostridia; Lachnospirales; Lachnospiraceae
Description: tRNA-Lys
Rfam family: tRNA
About the family: Transfer RNA (tRNA) molecules are approximately 80 nucleotides in length. Their secondary structure includes four short double-helical elements and three loops (D, anti-codon, and T loops).
Source: RNAcentral